Molecule: ribosomal RNA, 621 nt
Filed under: uncultured fungus
Lineage: Eukaryota; Fungi
Description: eukaryotic LSU rRNA
Rfam family: Eukaryotic large subunit ribosomal RNA
Source: RNAcentral
CCCGCUGAACUUAAGCAUAUCAAUAAGCGGAGGAAAAGAAACUAACAAGGAUUCCCCUAGUAACUGCGAGUGAAGAGGGAAAAGCUCAAAUUUGAAAUCUGGCGGUCUUUGGCUGUCCGAGUUGUAAUUUGCAGAGGAUGCUUUUGGCGAGGUGCCUUCCGAGUUCCCUGGAACGGGACGCCAUAGAGGGUGAGAGCCCCGUCUGGUUGGAUGCCGAGCCUCUGUAAAGCUCCUUCGACGAGUCGAGUAGUUUGGGAAUGCUGCUCUAAAUGGGAGGUAUAUGUCUUCUAAAGCUAAAUACCGGCCAGAGACCGAUAGCGCACAAGUAGAGUGAUCGAAAGAUGAAAAGCACUUUGAAAAGAGGGUUAAAUAGUACGUGAAAUUGUUGAAAGGGAAGCACUUAUGACCAGACUUGGACCCGGUGAAUCAUCCAGCGUUCUCGCUGGUGCACUUUGCCGGGCUCAGGCCAGCAUCAGUUUGCCCCGGGGGAUAAAGGCUUUGGGAAUGUGGCUCCCUCGGGAGUGUUAUAGCCCAUUGCACAAUACCCUGGGGCGGACUGAGGUUCGCGCAUCUGCAAGGAUGCUGGCGUAAUGGUCAUCAGUGACCCGUCUUGAAACACGG